This 30-nucleotide non-coding RNA is filed under the name Rattus norvegicus (Norway rat). The record is from RNAcentral. Lineage: Eukaryota; Metazoa; Chordata; Mammalia; Rodentia; Muridae.
UCCUAUGGAUGAGAGAAUUAGAUUCCUGAA